UUUAUAAUGCAGCCGUAGGCGGUCACAAGCCCGCAUAAAUGCAGAGUGUAAA
The submitters of this non-coding RNA (52 nucleotides) gave its source as unclassified sequences. The record is from Rfam.